AAACAUUGAACAAACACCACAACUAACUUCCGCCCGGGAAUUACGAACAUAAGUUUAAAACCCAAAGGACUUGGCGGUGCUUAACAUCCACCUAGAGGAGCCUGUCCUAUAACCGAUAACCCCCGUUUAACCUCACCCUUUCUUGUUUAAACCGCCUAUAUACCACCGUCGUCAGCUUACCCUGUGAAGGCCUAGUAGUGAGCAGGCUCGGCAUAGCCCCAAACGUCAGGUCGAGGUGUAGUGUAUGAGAGGGAAAGAGAUGGGCUACAUUCGCUAACAACAGCGAACACGAAUAAUGCACUGAAACAACGCAAUUGAAGGAGGAUUUAGCAGUAAGCAGGAAACAGAGUGUUCA
RNAcentral lists this ribosomal RNA (355 nucleotides) under Toxotes chatareus (largescale archerfish). RNAcentral's name for it is "partial 12S ribosomal RNA". It matches the Rfam family "Bacterial small subunit ribosomal RNA", at positions 801 to 1360 of the family's 1533-position model. The record is from RNAcentral. Lineage: Eukaryota; Metazoa; Chordata; Actinopteri; Toxotidae.